Molecule: non-coding RNA, 396 nt
Organism: Cinara cedri
Lineage: Eukaryota; Metazoa; Arthropoda; Insecta; Hemiptera; Aphididae
Source: the annotation of a GenBank genome assembly
UGUGUCUACUCGAGUAUUUUUUAGAACUUCUAAUAUACUCACUAUUAACUCGAUACCGAACUAGUGUACAACCUAUGGAAAUUUUGGGGUCUAACUCGGGACCCAAUUAGUAUAGUACCCGCAUUAACCCGGUACCCAACUAGAGUACAUUUUUGAACUCGGGACCCAACUCGGAUGCGCUGAGUGUGGGUACAUUUACGGUCACCCUAGUUUUGUCCUUACCUCUCUGCUUGUUCCAUUUCUGACUAAGACGUGUAAACUAUUUCAAAGUCCAAACUAUUUAGACACUCGUGGUAACCAAAACUUUAUUCAUUAUUCGUAGCCUUAUGUAAUUCUCCGUCAUUGCUGUAUAGCUAAAUCUCAUUUGUGUUUAUUUAAAUCUUAUAUUUUGUGGUA